RNAcentral lists this ribosomal RNA (422 nucleotides) under uncultured bacterium. Its description in RNAcentral is "bacterial SSU rRNA". It matches the Rfam family "Bacterial small subunit ribosomal RNA", at positions 359 to 773 of the family's 1533-position model. The record is from RNAcentral.
GAAUAUUGGACAAUGGGCGAAAGCCUGAUCCAGCGACGCCGCGUGGGUGAAGAAGGCCUGCGGGUUGUAAAGCCCUUUCGGUAGGGAAGAAAAGUUUCGGCUUAAUACGCCGGGACCUUGACGUAACCUACUAAAGAAGCACCGGCUAACUCUGUGCCAGCAGCCGCGGUAAUACAGCGGGUGCGAGCGUUAAUCGGAAUUACUGGGCGUAAAGCGCGCGUAGGCGGCUUCGCAAGUCGGAUGUGAAAUCCCCGGGCUUAACCUGGGAACUGCAUUCGAGACUGCGUUGCUAGAGUAUGGGAGAGGGAAGUGGAAUUUCAGGUGUAGCGGUGAAAUGCGUAGAUAUCUGAAGGAACAUCAGUGGCGAAAGCGACUUCCUGGACCAAUACUGACGCUCAUGUGCGAAAGCGUGGGGAGCAAAC